This 868-nucleotide ribosomal RNA is filed under the name uncultured bacterium. RNAcentral describes it as "bacterial SSU rRNA". It matches the Rfam family "Bacterial small subunit ribosomal RNA", at positions 42 to 882 of the family's 1533-position model. The record is from RNAcentral.
GCGUGCUUAACACAUGCAAGUCGAGCGAGAAAGGGGGGGCAACCCCCUGAGUAGAGCGGCGCACGGGUGAGUAACGCGUGGGUAACCUACCCCCAGGCGGGGGAUAACUACUCGAAAGGGUGGCUAAUACCGCAUGAGACCACGGGAUCUUCGGAUCCUGAGGCUAAAGAUCGCACCGGCUUGCCGGUGCUGUCACCAGGGGAUGGGCCCGCGUCCGAUUAGCUAGUUGGCGAGGUAAUGGCUCACCAAGGCUCCGAUCGGUAGCUGGUCUGAGAGGAUGAUCAGCCACACUGGAACUGAAACACGGUCCAGACUCCUACGGGAGGCAGCAGUGAGGAAUAUUGCGCAAUGGGGGAAACCCUGACGCAGCAACGCCGCGUGGGUGAAGAAGGCCUUCGGGUCGUAAAGCCCUUUCGGACGGGACGAACGCUCCGCGGCGACAAGCCGCGGAGUCUGACGGUACCGUAGGAAGAAGCACCGGCUAACUCCGUGCCAGCAGCCGCGGUAAUACGGAGGGUGCGAGCGUUGUUCGGAAUUACUGGGCGUAAAGCGCGUGUAGGCGGCCUUGCAAGUCAGGCGUGAAAGCCCUCGGCUUAACCGGGGAAGUGCGUCUGAAACUGCUUGGCUUGAGUACGGGAGAGGGAGGCGGAAUUCCCAGUGUAGAGGUGAAAUUCGUAGAUAUUGGGAGGAACACCGGUGGCGAAAGCGGCCUCCUGGACCGAUACUGACGCUGAGACGCGAAAGCGUGGGGAGCAAACAGGAUUAGAUACCCUGGUAGUCCACGCGGUAAACGAUGGGCACUAGGUGUGGGGGGUAUCCACUCCUCCCGUGCCGAAGCUAACGCAUUAAGUGCCCCGCCUGGGGAGUA